Long non-coding RNA from Lytechinus pictus (painted urchin), 1264 nucleotides. RefSeq lists it as uncharacterized. The record is from RefSeq and is a predicted model, not a curated record. The transcript has 2 exons. NCBI's taxonomy places the organism in Eukaryota, Metazoa, Echinodermata, Echinoidea, Temnopleuroida, Toxopneustidae.
AUUUGGCUUGAUUUUCCCACUGAAUUGGAGGGGCUGAAGUUAUAGCUCUGUACUGGUCGCUAACUUCAGUUUACGUCGAAACGAAUUGUGAUCUGCAUACUUGCUGACUCUGGUCUCUGCUUGCUACUUCAUUCUGGGAGAGUCCAUCAUGUAUGAUGGGGUGUCCAAACUUCGCGCACUUUUCAAAAAUAUUAAUCAGGCUUAAAUAUUUUCACAAAAUAUUCCUAAUUUAUACAAAACCAAUUCAAGAAAUAGUAACCACAUUGACGGCAAGAUCGUAAACUAUAAAAUCAUGGACGAAAAUGUAAAGUAGGUCAAGGGGAUUUGCCGGUAUCGCGAUCUCAAAAUUCUAUUCCGAUCGGCGAAUGCGCGCUGUGCUGGAAAACCGUUCAGAAAAAGUGUGACCUAACUUCGCGGACCAAAGUUUUUGUGGACAUUUAAACAAAAACUCAAGCUCAAAAAGUGAAAUAUUUAUAUCAGAUCGAUGGCAAAAUGCUAUAGAAUCGGUUAGUACCACAUUUAACUCACAUUUUUGAUGAUUUCUGCUUGCAAAAUGGUGAUAUCGUGAUGCUUGUUGAAAAUAUCAGAUUUCUUCAAAACAAGCGCUAACGGUGACAAAUUUGCCGAUCUUUUGCCAAUAUUUUCAUAAAAACUGAACUCAUCCUAAAGAAACUUACACCAAAGGGUAAUUGUAGGUCGCUUUUCACGUUGAUUACGUCAGAUUUAAAGGAUAUUGGCUAGUUUUUUAGAUAAUGACCGUCCGCGAAGUAUGGACACGCGCGAAGUUUGGACACACUGCCAUACUAUAAUGGUCAGACCAUGAUUUUGACAAAGCCCUUAUUUCGUUUGCAAAUUUUGGACUGAUACAACAGAAAAUUUAUCUUUAUCGAUAUUGGAAACAAAAAAAUUAGAGCACAGUUUUGGGGAGGACUAAGAAUACUGACUUGGACAGGAAUACAGCUUGACAAAAAUAAAAAUUCACAAUUCAAAACCAAAGAACAUUUUUAAUGUUACUAAUAGUGCAUUGCAAGAAACUUUCUACUCAAUCACACAUUCCAAAAUUAAGGGUAAGUCCUUUGAUUAAACACAAACAUGUAGUUGAUUUGCAAUUGAAAUUGAACAUAAGUUUCUUGCAAUGCCCCGUAAUCAUAUUUUGUUCUCAAGCAACUCUGUUAUAUGUUAUCUAAUGUGCUGAAGGUUAAGUGCCAUGUAUGUUCACAAUUUUUUUUUCGAAGGUAUAAUAUAUUUGUCCUUUUAAACGGUA